UACAGAGGGUGCGAGCGUUGUCCGGAAUCACUGGGCGUAAAGGGCGCGUAGGUGGCCCGACAAGUCAGUGGUGAAAGUUCGACGCUUAACGUCGAAUCGGCCACUGAUACUGUUGGGCUGGAGCACUGUAGAGGCUCAUGGAAUUCCGGGUGUAGCGGUGGAAUGCGUAGAGAUCCGGAAGAACACCGGUGGCGAAGGCGGUCUGCUGGGCAGUUGCUGACACUGAGGCGCGACAGCGUGGGGAGCAAACAGG
This 253-nucleotide ribosomal RNA is filed under the name uncultured bacterium. RNAcentral describes it as "partial 16S ribosomal RNA". It matches the Rfam family "Bacterial small subunit ribosomal RNA", at positions 524 to 776 of the family's 1533-position model. The record is from RNAcentral.